Molecule: transfer RNA, 78 nt
Filed under: Bacillota bacterium
Lineage: Bacteria; Bacillati; Bacillota
Also listed under: 3 other names
Description: tRNA-Met
Rfam family: tRNA
About the family: Transfer RNA (tRNA) molecules are approximately 80 nucleotides in length.
Source: RNAcentral
CGCGGGGAGGAGCAGUUCGGUCGCUCGUCGGGCUCAUAACCCGAAGGUCGUGUGGUUCAAAUCCCACCCCCGCUACCA